AAAGAUGUCAUUCUGGAGAUGCUUCCUCCAAAAUGCCUUUCCAUGGAUGUUUCCACUUUGCUUGGGGACGCAGAAGACUGGAGCUCAAGAAUUUACUGUCGCCUUGAAUCGUACAUGUUAUGAAAAAACGGGGUUUAGUCCCCACAGACGCUACAUACACAGCCCUCUUCAAUGCCUGUGCUGAGUCGCCAUGGAAAGAUUCGGGCCUGCAGAGCGCGCUCAAACUACGGCAAGAACUAAAGAGCAAAAAUCUGGAGCUGAAUCUGAUAACAUAUCAUGCUCUGCUGAAAGUAUGUGCCAUCUGCUCAGAUCUCAGGACAUGCUUUGACGUACUGAAGGAAAUUGUGCAUAAAGGCCAUGCUGUCACCACAGAGACCUUCAGCUUCCUUCUCAUGGGCUGCAUAAAGGACAAGGAGAGUGGCCUCAGAUAUGCCUUGCAGGUUUGGCGACAAAUGAUUAAAUUGGGAAUUAAACCUCAUGGUUACAAUUACAAUUUGAUGCUCCAUGCUGCAAGGGAUUGUGGAAUAGGUGACCCAGUUGUGGCUUCUGACUUGUUGCUAACAAGCACAGAUGAAAACCGUACUCAAGUAAAGCUCAUAUCGGGUAGGCGGGGUCAAAAGGUGAAAGGUCAGAAAAGGAAGGGAGCAGACAGUGGAAUUUCUACCCAGCUGGAUGUGGAAACCAUGGAAAAACAAAUAUUUCAAGAAAAUUCCAGGAAAGCUGAGAAACAUUUAAUCAACCAUGAAGACAAAGUGAGUGAGGUUCAGGCUGAGCCAGGAACUGGAUUGGCUGGAAUCACCAAUAAGACAGUAGAAUGCAGUAGGACUGGAGACUUCAGUAGAAACCAGGCUAUUUCAGAUCCACCUCAAGCAAACCAAGGUCAAUUUGUUGAGCCUGCUUGCAACCUGCCCAAUUUGUUGGACUUGAAAAUCUCCAGUAAGAACUUGGUUUCCUUAGGGACGAUAGCAACGCCGUCCGAUAGGCUGGCUUUGAUGGGGAACAUGGAAGGGUUUUUGAAUAAAAUGAAAGAGGACAAUGUGGCACCCAACAUUAAGACUUUCACGCUGUUGGCUGAGCUGGUUGAACCUCUGAGCCAGUCAGAAUCCUCUUUAUUGACCGUCCUGGAUGAACAUAAAGUGAAAGUAGAUGUGACCUUUUUUAAUACUUUGUUGAGAAAGAAGAGUAAACUGGGAGACCUAGAAGGUGCAAAGGGCAUGCUGACAGCUCUAGUUCAGAGGGGAAUAUCACCCAACAUACAGACGUUCUGUAACUUGGCAAUAGCCUGCCGCAGAGAGAAAGAUGGACUGCAGUUACUUUUGGACAUGAAGAAGUCUGGGAUUACUCCUAACACCCACAUCUACAGCACCCUUAUCAAUGCAGCGGUGAAGCAGUUGGACUAUACUUACCUCACAGAAAUCCUACGAGACAUGAGAAAGAACCAGGUCCCCCCAAACGAAGUUGUCAUACGCCAGCUGGAGUUUGCAGCUCAGUAUCCACCUCAGUUUGACAGGUAUAAGUCAAAGAACACGUACCUGGAGAAGAUUGAUGGGUUCCGAGGCUACUAUUUCCGCUGGCUGAAAGCAAUGGUAGCAGAGGAGACUCCACACCCGUGGGCAAAAUACAGAACUUCAGCAGCCAAGGGCAGUGCAGAGGACAUGCAGCCACAGGGCACCAUGGAACAGUAACUAUUGAGAGCAAGUCAGUAUUUUCCAUGUGUGGAAUGUGCACUAUUUCAGAUGCUGGAACUACCUAGACAGAGGAAUUUGGAGGGCUGUUUCCUUCAGGUGCCUUAUAGUAGGCACCACUGUACUUGUAUGUUCUGACUAUUUUAAUAAAGUACCAUCUCAACAGAAGAAAUAAGGGGGUAGUCAUAGUGUAGCUUCCCACUACUGUUAAACAGAUGCUUUGUUAGUAGUCGCACACGUGUGUUAGAGGUUUGAAUUGCCAGAGUUGUUCGAAACAACUUAGUGGUUCUCUAAUUCAUCUGCAGAGGUAGAUCAUAAGGCAGGUUUUGAUUCCAUCUGCCUCUGUGUCCAGGCAUUACUGAAGAAGAGGACCUUUAGACCUGAACAGCAACCAAUGUCUACUGCUCCCUAGGAGAGGAAACUAACAUCACCCCUAAAACAAAAGCAACAAAGGAAAUGAAGUAAAAAGUAAGAGGAUUAUCUCUUUUUCAAAGGCCAAAACACUUAUUAGAUGCAAAUGCUUUCCUAUUACUUUUCCAGAGAAGCAUUUCCUGCUGUUUUUAGGAACGAUACACUGAUCACAUGUGGCAGAGGAGAUGGAGAACUUAAAAUGCUUAACACUAACAGCUGCUUGUGGAAUACAGCUGCUAAGCAUCUGUAAUGUGAAUGACAAACCUAAGGCCAGUUCUUGGCUCAAAUAGGAGACGACAAUACAGCUUUGACCCUGUUACUUUCCUUACUGUUUGCCAAGGGUGUGAUUAUCCAUGAAAUUAAGUACUCAGUUUGUACCUCCAUGCUAUCUCACUAACUUACAAUGCAAUUCUUGUUAAGCAAUUUAUUGAAAGCUGCCUUACCUUCCACCUAGAGAAGCUUUCAGGGCUUGAAAGUUGGCAGUCUGGGACUUGCUAAAUUUAGUAACAGAGCAAAAUUCCAAACCCCAGGAACUCAUUCCUAACAGAAAGCUGUAACCCAGGGAGAAUGAGGAAGAUUGACUUUCCAAUGGUACAACACACAACCAGGCCAGCUAGCCUCACUAGUACUGAAAUUUGAAGUAACAGAAAACCUGUAUUGAAGUUUGUACUAGUUUCUGUCUACCUGCCUCCCUAUCUUGCUUUAGUGAGUCACUUUGUAAUUAAGGACACUACUAUUAAAGACAAAAGGAUAGUUGUACAAAGUCAGCUUUCUGGGUAUGGCAUAGAGUUGUCACUUGUUAAGGAGUACACCCCAUUCACAGGUGCCUCUACUACUGACAAUACAGCUCUGCUGUAAGAGCCAUAUGCCAUUGUGUGUGUGUGUGAGAGAGAAUGUGUAAUUAAUCUUUGAACCUUGUCACAGGACUGUGCCACUCCACUGUGGGGGAGGUAAAAUUUUAUUUUAAAAUAAAAUGGAUACACAAGACUAAUCAAAAUCACUCACUACUGCAUUUUAUGAUCCAGGUGGACAUAUUGCUGUUCAGACUGUUAAAGGAAGCUUGACUCACUGCAGGGUUUAUACAAGACAAUUAUAGCAGUAAAAGUCCAUGAUGUGGAAUCAGCACUUUUCAGAACCUCAAAAGAAGUGUCCAGUUUUUAAAGAUUUCACCCUGAGCAGCCUCUGCAUCCACAGUGAGUGCACUCAAUGAUUCUCCCCUAUAAAGCAAAAACAAGCUUUAGUCACCACAUUCUAGAUAAGUUACUUUAUAUAGAGAACAAGUAUUCUUAAUAAGCUAGUGCAGUAUGCUAUGUCUCAAACAGGGGAAGUCCUCUGAAGCGUCCAUAGCUCUAAAUUUCCUGCUACUCUACAUACAGUCUCCACCACCGCUUUACACAACAUUAUGCGGAGGAAUCAGGCAUUACUAUAAAAACAAAUGGAAGUGAAUAUUCCAUCAGCAAAGAUUAUGGAAUCCUACAAAACUAGGUUUGGCCAAGAAGUGGAUCACUGGGACUCUGCUGUCUGGAACUAUGAAUAGAAAAUUCAAGGGAUAGUCACUGGACCAGUUAAAAUCUGGAACUAUCAGUUUUCCUUUCUACUAUACAAAUUUUCAUCUAAAGCAGUGGGAGCUUCUGCACUAUAGCUAUGUUCCAAGCUCAAGUUAUCAAGAAGAAAGGGAACACAUCAGAAACUAAACAGUUGUAUUUCCUUUUGGGUAUUUUAAGAUUCACUGCACUUUGCCACAGUCAAAUCCCUCUCAAAAAUAGCUCAGUCUGACUUGCAGGGGACAAGGACCAUUCUUUGUUCUGUAUUUGUGUAGCGCCUAGCACAAUCAGGUCCUGGUCUAGGACUAGGGCUCCUAGAUGCCACAGCAAUACACAAAAUUAGGCUCAAGACACUACGUAUAGGAAGUCAGUGCUCUGGUCUCAAGUGUUGUUCUAGCACCCUAAACACUGCACCAGAAUUUUAGUUGGUUAAGUGUGACAGUAACUGGGGUAAGUCUGUAUUACCCCCUUAAUGUCAUUUUCAUGGGCAAAUGCUUCAGGAAACAAAGGAAAAACAGAGGAUAGCCACUUAACAGCAGAAUCCAGUGAUAAGGAAACUAGAAACUGAUACUAUUGUCAAAGGUAGUAGGGGAGAUAUCAUUCCGGUAAGUCAUAACUGCUGGCUCAAAAUGCAAGCAAGGAAAAUAGCAUUAUAGCAAAUAAAAAAUUCAUACCACUUCCAGCUUGCUUUUUGGGACCCUGCAAAUGCAGUUAGUUCCAAAGUUGGUAUCCCGAGUCUGGAUACAGCGCAGGCAGCAAAGGUUCUCAUAACCCUGUUUCUUCCACUUUGCAAUCAGGUUUUUGUCAGCAUAUCCUUCUCUGAUACAGUAUUCAUACAGUUCUGCACGAGAGAGGUGACUGGUCAGCACCACAGAAUUCUCAAUGAAUAGUUUAUUUAAAAAGUUUUAGUCUUUACACUGAAUCUAGUUCUCAGUGUCUGUAUUUGCUAGCAAGUCGAACUAGCAGAGGGAAAAGUCACUUUUUGUUUUUUUAAAGAACAAUUAUUUAAUCUUUUCCCAUCAAUAAUCUAAUUCUGGUUUACACUCACUGGCUAAUGACUCAGACAGUCCAUCUGGAAGCUGUGAUCUCUUCAUCUCAAGAGCAAAUAUUUAAGCUUUUUACCUCUGCUAAUAGCUUUUCUCUUAUAGAAGAGAUCAAAGAUGUAGCGUGUUUUCUGGUGAUGAAUUCUGAAGAUGGGCCAGAGGGAUUCUACCUUCCUCUUCCCUUCAUGAGGCUCAGUCUCCGCUGAGGAAAGAGGGCACAGAAGUCAGAUUUUGCUGUCAGUGACCUGCAAGUUAUUACAGCAGUAUAUAUCCUAAAAAAGCACCAUUAUUCUGAGAAAAAAAAUGUAAUUUUAAAGGGGCCUGGGGAAAUAGUAAAAAACAAAAUUCAAUGGAGAAAAAACACACAGGAGGUAUUUAACUCUCAUGCACUCCCGUUGGAAAGAGAGUCAGAGAGCUAAAGGGAUGAUGGUAAGGAAAAUGCAGGUAUAAUGAUUGGAUAGGACAGGCACAUCUGAAUACCCAUGAAACCAAGAGUGACAGCACAGACUGGAAUCAAACACUGCUGGUCUUUGCAAUGCAAGCUUCCCCCUGCACAUAGUUAUACCAGUGUGCUUUAAUUCUGGCCUAUAGUAGUCCUUAGAGGUUGGGUGGAGUACUACUGAUUCAGAAGAACAUUCGUUUCAUUUGCAAAUCAAGCCAUAGAUCCAGAGAUGAUCCACAUAACUCAUUCAGUCAUGUUUCAACCCCACGUGUCUUAAAUUAGAAUUAGGAAUUUGUCUUCUAGGGGUAACUUUCAAUGCAGGAAAUUAACACACUAAGUUACCACCAUCAAAGUGUUUCAUCAUUAUUAGCCCCUACUGAAAACAGAUUUAAAAAAAACACACUUGCUGUCCUUUUAUAAAACGUGUAUCCUGAAGCUCUUAAGGUUUGUACAAUCACAGGGUCACAUGCUAACCAGCAUCUGGCUUCAUAACUUACCUUCUCUCAUUUUUUGAUCCAGCUCAUCCAAUGUUGGUUCAAUCAGUUCCCAGCCAUCCGGAGGAGCUUUCCUGCUUCUCUUUACUUUGGGCAUCUUCUCAAAAAAGGCUCUUCAGGAGACAAAAGCAGGUCAGGUUUUAAUAGCACUCGUUUCCAGACAUCAUAAAGUCAUUGUGCCCCCCGCUGCAGGGAAAGAAAAGAAAAAAAAAAAAAGCAUAAGGAAGCCCGUGAGACUUUUCAGGAUUAUUUUGACUCCCUUGCUGUCAUUACUCCUUUUUCAAUGAUAAAGAUAAAGGUGUUUUUUUUUUUUAAAUUUAGAGAUAAAUGAAACUAAGGAACAAAACCAACACUUUUUUUUUAAUACAAUGAAUAAGUGUUUAACGUGUUACCAGUGUAUAGGAGGGAGUGCGCCUUUCCUAACUGCCCUUAUAAUUCAUCACAUAUUUCUUCACUUUUGGGGGCCAGCUAGGGAAGGUUUCCCAGUUAAUAGUACUUUGAACUGAAGGCAUUAGAGAAAAGCAAAGACCUAUUUAUUAUGCUUCACAAACUACUAUGAGAUACAUAUGCAUCAUAACUGCCAUUGUAAUGACAGAGAAGCCAAAUAGCACCCAGCAAGUCAGUGACAAAGCUGGGAUGGAAAUCCCAGAGUUUUAGCUCCCCUCACACUUGCUUUUAACCACAGAACUGUGGCCACAACCAUUAUACACAAAUAUUGUGAAACCACCUAGCCAAGUCAAAGAAACCCCGAGUUUAAACAUCCAGGGCUGGGCUGAAAGCUAGUCAUACCGACCAGUGGUUGCUGCGUGUACCUAGGGGACUAUCUUUGUACGAGACCCAGCCCAGACGCCCCAAGGGAUGGUCGAAGCGGGCUGGCUGGAAUAAGGAGCAGGCCCAGAUAAGGAGCAGGCGCGGGUCUCUUGUUGCUAGGCUCGAAGGGAGAACGUGUCACCCCUUACAAUGGCCUGGUACCCCCUGACCUACUCUCAUCCCGCCCAGCAGCGCGUCGGGCAGCGCAACGCGACCCACAGCCGCCCCAGGGGAUAUCACCCUCCCUGAAAGAAGGGAGCUCACCUGCCAAAUGGGGAGAGAAAGACGAUCACUAUUUACUGCUUCCGCCUGUUCAAAUCCGUCGCUCCCCUAUAACGUCACAAGCAGCUGGGGGUCCUUCCGUUGCCUAGUCGCUUUAAUGACCUAAACUCACUCGCUGUUUUCUGGGCGGGGAGCACAGCAAUCCGCGUGUGCAUUUGGUGUCCAUCGCAACGCCUGUAGAAAAGGAGGCCACAAAGGCCGAGCAAGACAGUACACAAGCCCUGAAGAGAUUGAUGCACAGCUCCAAGCAGAAAAACAAAAGGCCAGGGAAGAGGAGGAGCAAGAAGAAGGGGGAGAAGGGGCAAUAGGAGACCC
Molecule: RNA transcript, 7026 nt
Organism: Chelonia mydas (Green sea turtle)
Lineage: Eukaryota; Metazoa; Chordata; Testudines; Cheloniidae
Gene: PDAP1
Gene name: PDGFA associated protein 1
Exons: 9
Source: RefSeq, a predicted model, not a curated record